RNAcentral lists this long non-coding RNA (202 nucleotides) under Panax ginseng (ginseng). RNAcentral describes it as "long non-coding RNA (PGIN_LNC005785)". The record is from RNAcentral. Lineage: Eukaryota; Viridiplantae; Streptophyta; Magnoliopsida; Apiales; Araliaceae.
UUGGAAUAUCUUGUCUGUGCGUUUACGCAUGACCUGGUUCCGUUAUUUAUUAUUCUAUUGGAAUAACCUGUCUGUGCGGUCUAUCGCAUGCCUGGUGAUUUAUUUUGUUAUUCCAUUCUUUAUUAUACUCAGUUGGUUAAAGUUUUGACUUCUAUACUCCAUGAAAUUAGUGGAAUAUCCUUGAUAUUUGCGCUUCAUCCAG